Long non-coding RNA from Topomyia yanbarensis, 1054 nucleotides. RefSeq lists it as uncharacterized. The transcript has 3 exons. The record is from RefSeq and is a predicted model, not a curated record. NCBI's taxonomy places the organism in Eukaryota, Metazoa, Arthropoda, Insecta, Diptera, Culicidae.
GUGACAGAAGUGCCGGGUUAAAGAAAAAUUUAAAUUUGUUUAUGAAGAACGCAAAAAUCGGUCGAAGUUGUUUUGCCAAGGAAUAAUAAAGGAAGUUGUUUCUUUAUCGGUCGGGAUAGCAGAUGGCAUAAUAGAGGCGAAAAGGUCGAAAUUUACGAACCAGAAACAGUUGGAAUAUUUGUUGACGCUUUUGCUGCUUCAUCCGUGGCGCAUAUCUUCCGGACUACCUUCUCCAGAAUCUACAGCGAGGACAAAUGAUGGCUCCAGUUUUUUAACCAUCCCACCACACACCAGCGUUACGCGGAACAGCGUGCAGAUAUACGACGCAUCUCUGUAGGAUGCCCUCCCGCUCUCGAUUAAAAUGAAACCAACCAUUUCUUCCUUUAAAGCUGCCUUAACCAGACAUCACUGAGCGUUGGACUAAACAAUGCACUGGAUUUGUGAUUUUGAGAUUCUCCACCUAUUAGUAUUAAAACAUGCAACUUUCUUGACCUAAAUUAUACAAUGUAACAGGUAACAGGAAAAGACGCUCAAGAUUUAACUUUUUUCAUCACCAUGCCGGCUGUGGGGUGGUGGGGGGUUGGUAAAAGGUAUGUUAUAUACAAGGGGGAUGUUUGUAUUUUGUGGCCAAAUGCUACAAUUGGGGAGGGAGGGGUCGAAAAUAGUUGCGUCAUUUGUGUACGGCCCCUUUGCGAGGAAACCAUUUUUCGUCGCCCCAGUUAGUCUGGGUUCAAUCCCAGCCGAGGUCGUUGAGAUUUUUCUGAUGCGAAAAAAAUCUUUGGUGACGCUUUCCUUCGGAAAGGAAGUAAAGCUAUUGGAUCGAUAUCUAGUCCAGAUAGUGGCGUCACCUCUCUGGCGUCGGUAUUUGAUCUCGCAGCGGAAAUAGGCCGACGGAAAAAACUAUAACAUAAAGAAGAAGAAGUUCAGCUAAGACGUUUACUGCUCAUAAUCGCAAGUCAGUCCCAUGUUCUAUGGAAUUCCAUGUCUACAUGGGGCUCACUUCCGAUUAUAUGCUGUUUAGGUGGGGCUACUGUAAAAGCUCCAGCGAAUUGUA